CGUAGGGUGCGAGCGUUAAUCGGAAUUACUGGGCGUAAAGCGUGCGCAGGCGGUGAUGUAAGACAGGUGUGAAAUCCCAGGGCUUAACCUUGGAACUGCAUUUGUGACUGCAUCGCUGGAGUGCGGCAGAGGGGGAUGGAAUUCCGCGUGUAGCAGUGAAAUGCGUAGAUAUGCGGAGGAACACCGAUGGCGAAGGCAAUCCCCUGGGCCUGCACUGACGCUCAUGCACGAAAGCGUGGGGAGCAAACAGGAUUAGAUACCCUGGUAGUCCACGCCCUAAACGAUGUCAACUGGUUGUUGGGUCUUCACUGACUCAGUAACGAAGCUAACGCGUGAAGUUGACCGCCUGGGGAGUACGGCCGCAAGGUUG
This 370-nucleotide ribosomal RNA is filed under the name uncultured organism. RNAcentral's name for it is "bacterial SSU rRNA". It matches the Rfam family "Bacterial small subunit ribosomal RNA", at positions 526 to 896 of the family's 1533-position model. The record is from RNAcentral.